CACCAACUAGCAACGACGACAACAACAGCAGGCCCUACCAGUCUGCUGCAACGGUGGGUGAGUGCCAGAUAAAUUCAAAGUGGAAAAAUAAAUUUCUCAUCGACUGAACGUAAAACAAAGAUUUUUUCCCCUUAAACGAACUAAAAGAAACCACAGAAAACUAAAACGUGGCUUUAAUAAUAAGAGAUAAACUCGAUUAAAAUCAGAUAACAUGUAGGGAAAUUAAGAACAUAACGUAAACUGAAAAGCAAUUUAUAUAUGCUUAAGGUAUAUCAAAAGCUCGCUUAAAAUUAAUAACAAGGGCAACCAUAAAUGGUUUGUCUCCUAGCUAGAGAAAUUUAAAUAAAGAAACGGAGCACUAGUUAAAGGAAUACAAUUGAAGAAAUAAAAUUUAGUACUAAAUAAAUUUAGCUAUAGAAAAGAUUAAGGUUGAAUUAUCUACAAGAAAAAAAA
Long non-coding RNA from Rhagoletis zephyria (snowberry fruit fly), 453 nucleotides. RefSeq lists it as uncharacterized. NCBI's taxonomy places the organism in Eukaryota, Metazoa, Arthropoda, Insecta, Diptera, Tephritidae. The record is from RefSeq and is a predicted model, not a curated record.